AUUGAACGCUGGCGGCAGGCCUAACACAUGCAAGUCGAACGAGUGGCGGACGGGUGAGUAAUGUCUGGGAAACUGACCGAUGGAGGGGGAUAACUACUGGAAACGGUAGCUAAUAACGCAUACCAUCGGAUGUGCCCAGAUGGGAUUAGCUGGUAGGUGAGGUAACGGCUCACCUAGGCGACGAUCCCUAGCUGGUCUGAGAGGAUGAACAGCAACACUGGAACUUAGACACGGUCCAGACUCCUACGGUAGCCAGCAGUGGGGAAUAUUGCACAAUGGGCGCAAUCCUGAUGCAGCCAUGCCGCGUGUAUGAAGAAGGCCUUCGGUUUUUAAAGUACUUUCAGCUGGGAGGCGUUACCCGCAGAAGAAGCACCGGCUAACUCCGUGCCAGCAGCCGCGGUAAUAC
RNAcentral lists this ribosomal RNA (406 nucleotides) under uncultured bacterium. RNAcentral describes it as "partial 16S ribosomal RNA". It matches the Rfam family "Bacterial small subunit ribosomal RNA", at positions 30 to 526 of the family's 1533-position model. The record is from RNAcentral.